Long non-coding RNA from Alligator mississippiensis (American alligator), 1884 nucleotides. RefSeq lists it as uncharacterized. The transcript is spliced from 4 exons. The record is from RefSeq and is a predicted model, not a curated record. Lineage: Eukaryota; Metazoa; Chordata; Crocodylia; Alligatoridae.
GAAGAGGGGGAUUUCCUCACUCUCCUUCAGCCCUGCAUGGGGGCCCUCUCUGCCUGGCUGCAUUGCUCUCCUUCUUACACUCCAGAUUCACCAUCUGAUGGCAGCGGCCCUGCAGUCUGAACCAGAGAGUGAAAAAGAGAGGCACCAUGCAGAUAAAGUGGACGUGACUCUGGACCCAGACCCGGCUCAUCCCAACCUCGUCCUGUCUGAGGAUCGGAAACAUGUGAGACAUGAGGACACCUGACAGGAUCUGCCCAACAGCCCUGAGAGAUUUGAUUGCUGUGCUUGCGUCCUGGGCUCUGAGGGGUUCACAGGUGGGAGGCAGUACUGGGAGGUGGAGGUGGGAGACAAGAAGCGCUAGACUCUGGGCAUGUGCAGGGAGUCUGCGCGCAGGAAGGGGGGCAUCACAGUGUCACCGGAGGAAGAAUACUGGGCUGUGCAGCUGCGGGAUGGGGAAUACCAAGCCAACACCUCCCCCUUGAUGCCUCUCCCUGUGUACGUGCUGCCCAGGUGCGUGGGGGUUUUCCUGGACUAUGAGUUGGGCGAGGUCUCAUUUUACAACGUGACUGACAGGUCCCAUCUCUUCACUUUCACUGACUCCUUCUCUGGGACCCUGCACCCGUAUUUCUAGCCUGGUGUUAAUUCUGGGGGCAUCAACACGGAUCCCCUGAUCCUGUGCCCGGUCCCAGCCCAGCCCUGAGGGAAUCCCUGUCACUGCCAUGCCAUGAUACAUGUGGAACAGACUGUCCCCUUCCAGCCCUAUCCAUGCCCCCUGCAAGUGUGAGCCCCUCUGGUGCCUCUGGUGUGGGGCUGGGGAGAAGCAGGGCAGAGCUGGGGUCUCCCAACGAUGGCUGCCCUGCACCCCAGGGUUCAUCUCCCAAUCCCCAUACCCACAGUACCACCCACUUGGAAGGGAUCAUCUCCAAAUUCUUAUCCUUCACUUAAAAAUCACUGCAGUCCCCCUGGGCUUAUCACUUUGUUACUUUGUUCCCCACUUUCAGCAUUGCCCUGUGCAGCUCGAGAUGCUGGCGCUUAUCAGCUUGGCUCGGAGGCAAAAAGAAGCUGUGGCCCUGGGGGCUGCGCCCACAUGCAGCCCAUCGUGGACCGGGGGCUGGGAGGGAAGGGUGAGGCUGGGCAGGCGGGCAGGGGGGGACACCUGCCCCAUCACCUAUGGGCCAUGGAGAAGCUUACAGCCUAUUGGGAGAAGCUGCUGGGUGCUCCUCAGCUGCAAUAGCAAGAGCUGUGCAGGGAGGGAGCUUUGGAGGGAAAAGGGGAGGCAGCUGUCAGGAGCAGGACGCAACCCCACAUCACCAGAGGAGACUACAACCUAAACACAGCGCCUUUGACCACUCGGCCAUCCUGACAGUGUAGUAAAAAGACGUUAGCCCCCAUAAUUUUGCAGUAAUGCUUGAGCAACAACCGUAUGAUAGAAGUGUCUUAUGACCCAAUCUUAUGACCCUUUUGUGUAAAGAUCAGGAGGUCUAAUGUCCAAGCUGUGGUCUGUGGUUCUUACUGCUUGCCUUGCAUUUUGAAAUCAUCUCUGUCCAGUGCCUUAAGGUUACGUUAAGAUAAGAAGUUACUAAAGUUUAACUAACUUUGUUGAAAUUGCUCUUUUCUUCUGAGCAUGCUGCAAUUCUACCUUUGAGUGCGCACGUACUAACCCUGAUAAGUCACAUUAACCAAUAACUAGUUAAGUACAGCCUACAAGAUAAGACGUCACAAUUAGGAACUGGUACUGCAGCCAAUAAACUUCUAAUACGUCAAGACUCUGUUGAAUGUAAGCUAUAAAAAUGUAAUUCCAGGCCGGACUCAUCGUCGGCCCUGAUUUGAGCUCUCUGCUCCCCGGUCGAACUGUUUGCAAACAAUAAACCUAGAUGGACCCAG